Molecule: ribosomal RNA, 300 nt
Filed under: uncultured bacterium
Lineage: Bacteria
Description: bacterial SSU rRNA
Rfam family: Bacterial small subunit ribosomal RNA
Source: RNAcentral
GACGAACGCUGGCGGCGUGCUUAACACAUGCAAGUCGAGCGGUAAGGCCCUUUCGGGGGUACGACGAGCGGCGAACGGGUGAGUAACACGUGGGUGACCUCGCCCUUACGCUCUGGGAGUAAGCCUGGGAAACUGGGUCUAAUACCGGAUAUGACUCCAUGACGCAUGUUGUGGGGUGGAAAGCCUUGUGCGGCUAGGGAUGGGCCCGCGGCCUAUCAGCUCGUUGGUGGGGUGAGGCCUACCAAGGCGACGACGGGUAGCCGGCCUGAGAGGGCGACCGGCCACACUGGGACUGAGACA